CUGGUGGACCGCGGAACAUGUG
This 22-nucleotide microRNA is filed under the name Canis lupus familiaris (dog). The record is from RNAcentral. Lineage: Eukaryota; Metazoa; Chordata; Mammalia; Carnivora; Canidae.